RNAcentral lists this unclassified non-coding RNA (241 nucleotides) under Glomeraceae sp. RNAcentral describes it as "partial contains 5.8S ribosomal RNA and internal transcribed spacer 2". The stretch from base 1 to 71 matches the Rfam family "5.8S ribosomal RNA", at positions 84 to 154 of the family's 154-position model. Lineage: Eukaryota; Fungi; Glomeromycota; Glomeromycetes; Glomerales; Glomeraceae. The record is from RNAcentral.
GUGAAUCAUCGAAUUUUUGAACGCAAAUUGCACUCUCUGGUAUUCCGGAGAGUAUGCCUGUUUGAGAGUCAGUUUAAAUAAAAAUCUUUUUGGUUGCUGCCUUUCGUUGUGACGCACCGGAUUUUGGUCGUCUUACCUUCGGUUAAGUAACCUAAAAUUGUGCAUGUUUUUUUUCGAGCGUAUUUAAAUGAUAUUAUUUACGUUUGCGAUGUCGAAUACUAGGGUUGAUCAUCCUCAUGAU